UGAAGUGGGUCUAGAUAUCCUUGAGUG
This 27-nucleotide non-coding RNA is filed under the name Homo sapiens (human). The record is from RNAcentral. Lineage: Eukaryota; Metazoa; Chordata; Mammalia; Primates; Hominidae.